This 460-nucleotide ribosomal RNA is filed under the name uncultured bacterium. RNAcentral's name for it is "bacterial SSU rRNA". It matches the Rfam family "Bacterial small subunit ribosomal RNA", at positions 335 to 787 of the family's 1533-position model. The record is from RNAcentral.
ACUCCUACGGGAGGCAGCAGUGAGGAAUAUUGGACAAUGGGCGAAAGCCUGAUCCAGCAAUGCCGCGUGUGUGAAGAAGGCCUUCGGGUUGUAAAGCACUUUUGUCCGGAAAGAAAUCCUUGGCUCUAAUACAGCCGGGGGAUGACGGUACCGGAAGAAUAAGCACCGGCUAACUACGUGCCAGCAGCCGCGGUAAUACGUAGGGUGCAAGCGUUAAUCGGAAUUACUGGGCGUAAAGCGUGCGCAGGCGGUUUGCUAAGACCGAUGUGAAAUCCCCGGGCUCAACCUGGGAACUGCAUUGGUGACUGGCAGGCUAGAGUAUGGCAGAGGGGGUAGAAUUCCACGUGUAGCAGUGAAAUGCGUAGAGAUGUGGAGGAAUACCGAUGGCGAAGGCAGCCCCCUGGGCCAAUACUGACGCUCAUGCACGAAAGCGUGGGGGAGCAAACAGGAUUAGAUACCC